GUAGCCAAUUAAACUGUCGCUUUUUGUAUUAAAAGAGGAAAGUCCGGACAACGUAGAGUACCUUACUAUCUAACGGAUAGCUGUUUGUAAAAACAGAGUCAAGUAGAAGAAAACAACCGCCUUUUAAAAUUUUUUAAGGUAAGGGUGAGAAGGUGAGGUAAGAGCUUACCAGUCUUUACAGAAAUGUAAAAAGCUGUACUACUUAGGGGUUGCAAGGUCAUGUAUACCGACGAAUAAUAGGAUUACUCGUCCGAUGUCGGGGGGUAGACUGCUUGAAUUUAAUGGAUACAUUAAAUCUAGAUAAAUGACAGUUGCCUGAAUGAAUCUAUGAUUCAGGAACAGAAUCCGGCUUAUAGAUUGGCUACUUAU
Molecule: RNase P RNA, 369 nt
Filed under: Candidatus Azobacteroides pseudotrichonymphae genomovar. CFP2
Lineage: Bacteria; Pseudomonadati; Bacteroidota; Bacteroidia; Bacteroidales
Description: Bacterial RNase P class A
Rfam family: Bacterial RNase P class A
About the family: Ribonuclease P (RNase P) is a ubiquitous endoribonuclease, found in archaea, bacteria and eukarya as well as chloroplasts and mitochondria.
Source: Rfam by way of RNAcentral